This is a non-coding RNA of Pelobates cultripes (western spadefoot toad), 216 nucleotides long. The record is from the annotation of a GenBank genome assembly. NCBI's taxonomy places the organism in Eukaryota, Metazoa, Chordata, Amphibia, Anura, Pelobatidae.
CUUUAACCUUGUUACACCGCUUGGCUGUCAAUCAGACUACACGUCCUGUUAUUCCUGGCCUGUUAGCUCAGUGGAGCUACUUAUAUUCCCUGAAAAUAAGACUGGGUCUUAUAUUAAUUUUUCCCCUGAAAAACACACUAGGGCUUAUUUUCAGCGGAUGUCUUAUUUAGGGGGAAAGCGGUUUCAAGCAUUCGCUUGAAAGCAGGUCUACGUUUG